GUCCUUGUAGCUUAAUAAUUAAAGCAUGGCACUGAAGAUGCCAAGAUGACCGCCUGCUAUACGUCCAAGGACA
Molecule: transfer RNA, 73 nt
Filed under: Oceanodroma tethys (Wedge-rumped storm-petrel)
Lineage: Eukaryota; Metazoa; Chordata; Aves; Procellariiformes
Description: tRNA-Phe
Rfam family: tRNA
About the family: Transfer RNA (tRNA) molecules are approximately 80 nucleotides in length. Their secondary structure includes four short double-helical elements and three loops (D, anti-codon, and T loops).
Source: RNAcentral